UGGGGAAUAUUGCACAAUGGGCGCAAGCCUGAUGCAGCCAUGCCGCGUGUGUGAAGAAGGCCUUCGGGUUGUAAAGCACUUUCAGCGAGGAGGAAGGUGGUGAGCUUAAUACGCUCAUCAAUUGACGUUACUCGCAGAAGAAGCACCGGCUAACUCCGUGCCAGCAGCCGCGGUAAUACGGAGGGUGCAAGCGUUAAUCGGAAUUACUGGGCGUAAAGCGCACGCAGGCGGUUUGUUAAGUCAGAUGUGAAAUCCCCGGGCUCAACCUGGGAACUGCAUUUGAAACUGGCAAGCUAGAGUCUCGUAGAGGGGGGUAGAAUUCCAGGUGUAGCGGUGAAAUGCGUAGAGAUCUGGAGGAAUACCGGUGGCGAAGGCGGCCCCCCUGGACGAAGACUGACGCUCAGGUGCGAAAGCGUGGGGCAGCAAACAGGAUUAGAUACCCUGGUAGUCCAGCGCUGUAAACGAUGUCGAUUUGGAGGUUGUGCCCUUGAGGCGUGGCUUCCGGAGCUAACGCGUUAAAUCGACCGCCUGGGGAGUACGGCCGCAAGGUUAAAACUUAAAGGAAUUGACGGGGUCAUAGCUG
RNAcentral lists this ribosomal RNA (583 nucleotides) under uncultured bacterium. Its description in RNAcentral is "partial 16S ribosomal RNA". It matches the Rfam family "Bacterial small subunit ribosomal RNA", at positions 355 to 932 of the family's 1533-position model. The record is from RNAcentral.